CCUACGGGAGGCAGCAGUGAGGAAUAUUGGUCAAUGGGCGGAAGCCUGAAUCAGCCAAGUCGCGUGAGGGAAUAAGGCCCUACGGGUCGUAAACCUCUUUUGCCGGGGAGCAAGGGCCGGGACGCGUCCCGGCCCGGAGAGUACCCGGAGAAAAAGCAUCGGCUAACUCCGUGCCAGCAGCCGCGGUAAUACGGAGGAUGCGAGCGUUAUCCGGAUUUAUUGGGUUUAAAGGGUGCGUAGGCGGGCUUUUAAGUCAGCGGUAAAAAUUCGGGGCUCAACCCCGCCCGGCCGUUGAAACUCGGGGG
RNAcentral lists this ribosomal RNA (305 nucleotides) under uncultured bacterium. RNAcentral describes it as "bacterial SSU rRNA". It matches the Rfam family "Bacterial small subunit ribosomal RNA", at positions 338 to 640 of the family's 1533-position model. The record is from RNAcentral.